This is a long non-coding RNA of Homo sapiens (human), 168 nucleotides long. Lineage: Eukaryota; Metazoa; Chordata; Mammalia; Primates; Hominidae. The record is from Ensembl.
GAACGGUUAUCUGUGUACAAAACAUGGGCAGACUAAUUUCUUGCACAUAGCUGCUGCCAGCUCCUACCACCAGAGAGGGACUGACUCCCUUUCCCAAGGAGUUCUGAUCUGUGUGCUUUGGGUCAGGCACCAAGGUCCAGACCAGCCAAUAGUGAACAGGAAAUCAAG